UGAAGGGACAGUGGCCAUUGCAUCAAGUC
Molecule: non-coding RNA, 29 nt
Filed under: Homo sapiens (human)
Lineage: Eukaryota; Metazoa; Chordata; Mammalia; Primates; Hominidae
Source: RNAcentral